GAAAGCGCUCUACUGGACGGCAACUGACACUCAGGGACGAAAGCUAGGGGAGCGAAUGGGAUUAGAUACCCCAGUAGUCCUAGCUGUCAACGAUGGAUACUAGGUGUAGCUUGUAUCGACCCGAGCUGUGCCGAAGCUAACGCGUUAAGUAUCCCGCCUGGGGAGUACGCAAGCAAGUGUGAAACUCAAAGGAAUUGACGGGGGCCCGCACAAUCGGUGGAGUAUGUGGUUUAAUUCGAUGCAACGCGAAGUACCUUACCAGGGCUUGACAUGUACGGAAUCCCGGUGAAAGCUGGGAGUGCCUUCGGGAGCCGGAACACAGGUGGUGCAUGGCUCUCGUCAGCUCGUGUCAUGAGAUGUUGGGUUAAGUCCCGCAACGAGCGCUACCCUCGUCUUUAGUUGCCAGCAUUAAGUUGCGCACUCUAGAGAGACUGCCGCUGACAAGCCGGAGGAAGGUGGGGAUGACGUCAAGUCAGCAUGCCCCUUACGCUCUGGGCGACACACGUACUACAAUGGUCGGGACAGAGGGCAGCGAACCUGCGAAGGCAAGCUAAUCCCAGCAAACUCGGCGUCAGUUCAGAUCACAGCAUGCAACUCGCCUGCGUGAAGGAGGAAUCGUUAGUAAUCUCCGGUGAGUAUAAUACGGCGAAUCCGUUCCCGGGCCUUGUACACACCGCCCGUCACACCAUGGAAGCUGGCCACGCCCGAAGUCGUUACCCUAACCUUUCGGGGAAGG
RNAcentral lists this ribosomal RNA (736 nucleotides) under uncultured organism. Its description in RNAcentral is "bacterial SSU rRNA". It matches the Rfam family "Bacterial small subunit ribosomal RNA", at positions 717 to 1450 of the family's 1533-position model. The record is from RNAcentral.